GAUGAACGCUGGCGGCGUGCCUAAUACAUGCAAGUCGAGCGAACGGACGAGAAGCUUGCUUCUCUGAUGUUAGCGGCGGACGGGUGAGUAACACGUGGAUAACCUACCUAUAAGACUGGGAUAACUUCGGGAAACCGGAGCUAAUCCCGGAUGAUAUUUUGAACCGCAUGGUUCAAAAGUGAAAGACGGUCUUGCUGUCACUUAUAGAUGGAUCCGCGCUGCAUUAGCUAGUUGGUAAGGUAACGGCUUACCAAGGCAACGAUGCAUAGCCGACCUGAGAGGGUGAUCGGCCACACUGGAACGGAGACACGGUCCAGACUCCUACGGGAGGCAGCAGUAGGGAAUCUUCCGCAAUGGGCGAAAGCCUGACGGAGCAACGCCGCGUGAGUGAUGAAGGUCUUCGGAUCGUAAAACUCUGUUAUUAGGGAAGAACAUAUGUGUAAGUAACUGUGCACAUCUUGACGGUACCUAAUCAGAAAGCCACGGCUAACUACGUG
This 497-nucleotide ribosomal RNA is filed under the name uncultured bacterium. RNAcentral's name for it is "partial 16S ribosomal RNA". It matches the Rfam family "Bacterial small subunit ribosomal RNA", at positions 28 to 507 of the family's 1533-position model. The record is from RNAcentral.